RNAcentral lists this ribosomal RNA (2904 nucleotides) under Escherichia coli. Its description in RNAcentral is "23S ribosomal RNA". It matches the Rfam family "Bacterial large subunit ribosomal RNA". Lineage: Bacteria; Pseudomonadati; Pseudomonadota; Gammaproteobacteria; Enterobacterales; Enterobacteriaceae. The record is from RNAcentral.
GGUUAAGCGACUAAGCGUACACGGUGGAUGCCCUGGCAGUCAGAGGCGAUGAAGGACGUGCUAAUCUGCGAUAAGCGUCGGUAAGGUGAUAUGAACCGUUAUAACCGGCGAUUUCCGAAUGGGGAAACCCAGUGUGUUUCGACACACUAUCAUUAACUGAAUCCAUAGGUUAAUGAGGCGAACCGGGGGAACUGAAACAUCUAAGUACCCCGAGGAAAAGAAAUCAACCGAGAUUCCCCCAGUAGCGGCGAGCGAACGGGGAGGAGCCCAGAGUCUGAAUCAGUGUGUGUGUUAGUGGAAGCGUCUGGAAAGGCGCGCGAUACAGGGUGACAGCCCCGUACACAAAAAUGCACAUAUUGUGAGCUCGAUGAGUAGGGCGGGACACGUGGUAUCCUGUCUGAAUAUGGGGGGACCAUCCUCCAAGGCUAAAUACUCCUGACUGACCGAUAGUGAACCAGUACCGUGAGGGAAAGGCGAAAAGAACCCCGGCGAGGGGAGUGAAAAAGAACCUGAAACCGUGUACGUACAAGCAGUGGGAGCACGCUUAGGCGUGUGACUGCGUACCUUUUGUAUAAUGGGUCAGCGACUUAUAUUCUGUAGCAAGGUUAACCGAAUAGGGGAGCCGAAGGGAAACCGAGUCUUAACUGGGCGUUAAGUUGCAGGGUAUAGACCCGAAACCCGGUGAUCUAGCCAUGGGCAGGUUGAAGGUUGGGUAACACUAACUGGAGGACCGAACCGACUAAUGUUGAAAAAUUAGCGGAUGACUUGUGGCUGGGGGUGAAAGGCCAAUCAAACCGGGAGAUAGCUGGUUCUCCCCGAAAGCUAUUUAGGUAGCGCCUCGUGAAUUCAUCUCCGGGGGUAGAGCACUGUUUCGGCAAGGGGGUCAUCCCGACUUACCAACCCGAUGCAAACUGCGAAUACCGGAGAAUGUUAUCACGGGAGACACACGGCGGGUGCUAACGUCCGUCGUGAAGAGGGAAACAACCCAGACCGCCAGCUAAGGUCCCAAAGUCAUGGUUAAGUGGGAAACGAUGUGGGAAGGCCCAGACAGCCAGGAUGUUGGCUUAGAAGCAGCCAUCAUUUAAAGAAAGCGUAAUAGCUCACUGGUCGAGUCGGCCUGCGCGGAAGAUGUAACGGGGCUAAACCAUGCACCGAAGCUGCGGCAGCGACGCUUAUGCGUUGUUGGGUAGGGGAGCGUUCUGUAAGCCUGUGAAGGUGUGCUGUGAGGCAUGCUGGAGGUAUCAGAAGUGCGAAUGCUGACAUAAGUAACGAUAAAGCGGGUGAAAAGCCCGCUCGCCGGAAGACCAAGGGUUCCUGUCCAACGUUAAUCGGGGCAGGGUGAGUCGACCCCUAAGGCGAGGCCGAAAGGCGUAGUCGAUGGGAAACAGGUUAAUAUUCCUGUACUUGGUGUUACUGCGAAGGGGGGACGGAGAAGGCUAUGUUGGCCGGGCGACGGUUGUCCCGGUUUAAGCGUGUAGGCUGGUUUUCCAGGCAAAUCCGGAAAAUCAAGGCUGAGGCGUGAUGACGAGGCACUACGGUGCUGAAGCAACAAAUGCCCUGCUUCCAGGAAAAGCCUCUAAGCAUCAGGUAACAUCAAAUCGUACCCCAAACCGACACAGGUGGUCAGGUAGAGAAUACCAAGGCGCUUGAGAGAACUCGGGUGAAGGAACUAGGCAAAAUGGUGCCGUAACUUCGGGAGAAGGCACGCUGAUAUGUAGGUGAAGUCCCUUGCGGAUGGAGCUGAAAUCAGUCGAAGAUACCAGCUGGCUGCAACUGUUUAUUAAAAACACAGCACUGUGCAAACACGAAAGUGGACGUAUACGGUGUGACGCCUGCCCGGUGCCGGAAGGUUAAUUGAUGGGGUCAGCGCAAGCGAAGCUCUUGAUCGAAGCCCCGGUAAACGGCGGCCGUAACUAUAACGGUCCUAAGGUAGCGAAAUUCCUUGUCGGGUAAGUUCCGACCUGCACGAAUGGCGUAAUGAUGGCCAGGCUGUCUCCACCCGAGACUCAGUGAAAUUGAACUCGCUGUGAAGAUGCAGUGUACCCGCGGCAAGACGGAAAGACCCCGUGAACCUUUACUAUAGCUUGACACUGAACAUUGAGCCUUGAUGUGUAGGAUAGGUGGGAGGCUUUGAAGUGUGGACGCCAGUCUGCAUGGAGCCGACCUUGAAAUACCACCCUUUAAUGUUUGAUGUUCUAACGUUGACCCGUGAUCCGGGUUGCGGACAGUGUCUGGUGGGUAGUUUGACUGGGGCGGUCUCCUCCUAAAGAGUAACGGAGGAGCACGAAGGUUGGCUAAUCCUGGUCGGACAUCAGGAGGUUAGUGCAAUGGCAUAAGCCAGCUUGACUGCGAGCGUGACGGCGCGAGCAGGUGCGAAAGCAGGUCAUAGUGAUCCGGUGGUUCUGAAUGGAAGGGCCAUCGCUCAACGGAUAAAAGGUACUCCGGGGAUAACAGGCUGAUACCGCCCAAGAGUUCAUAUCGACGGCGGUGUUUGGCACCUCGAUGUCGGCUCAUCACAUCCUGGGGCUGAAGUAGGUCCCAAGGGUAUGGCUGUUCGCCAUUUAAAGUGGUACGCGAGCUGGGUUUAGAACGUCGUGAGACAGUUCGGUCCCUAUCUGCCGUGGGCGCUGGAGAACUGAGGGGGGCUGCUCCUAGUACGAGAGGACCGGAGUGGACGCAUCACUGGUGUUCGGGUUGUCAUGCCAAUGGCACUGCCCGGUAGCUAAAUGCGGAAGAGAUAAGUGCUGAAAGCAUCUAAGCACGAAACUUGCCCCGAGAUGAGUUCUCCCUGACCCUUUAAGGGUCCUGAAGGAACGUUGAAGACGACGACGUUGAUAGGCCGGGUGUGUAAGCGCAGCGAUGCGUUGAGCUAACCGGUACUAAUGAACCGUGAGGCUUAACCUU